RNAcentral lists this ribosomal RNA (253 nucleotides) under uncultured bacterium. Its description in RNAcentral is "partial 16S ribosomal RNA". It matches the Rfam family "Bacterial small subunit ribosomal RNA", at positions 524 to 776 of the family's 1533-position model. The record is from RNAcentral.
UACGAAGGGGGCUAGCGUUGUUCGGAUUUACUGGGCGUAAAGCGCACGUAGGCGGAUUGUUAAGUCAGGGGUGAAAUCCUGGAGCUCAACUCCAGAACUGCCUUUGAUACUGGCAAUCUUGAGUCCGGAAGAGGUGAGUGGAACUCCUAGUGUAGAGGUGGAAUUCGUAGAUAUUAGGAAGAACACCAGUGGCGAAGGCGGUUCACUGGUCCGGUACUGACGCUGAGGUGCGAAAGCGUGGGGAGCAAACAGG